CAGCCGCCACGGUAAUACGUAGGUGGCAAGCGUUGUCCGGAAUUAUUGGGCGUAAAGGGCUCGCAGGCGGUUUCUUAAGUCUGAUGUGAAAGCCCCCGGCUCAACCGGGGAGGGUCAUUGGAAACUGGGAAACUUGAGUGCAGAAGAGGAGAGUGGAAUUCCACGUGUAGCGGUGAAAUGCGUAGAGAUGUGGAGGAACACCAGUGGCGAAGGCGACUCUCUGGUCCGUAACUGACGCUGAGGAGCGAAAGCGUGGGGAGCGAACAGGAUUAGAUACCCCCGUAGUCCCUGUCUCUUAUAC
RNAcentral lists this ribosomal RNA (301 nucleotides) under uncultured bacterium. Its description in RNAcentral is "partial 16S ribosomal RNA". It matches the Rfam family "Bacterial small subunit ribosomal RNA", at positions 509 to 807 of the family's 1533-position model. The record is from RNAcentral.